RNAcentral lists this ribosomal RNA (387 nucleotides) under uncultured bacterium. RNAcentral's name for it is "bacterial SSU rRNA". It matches the Rfam family "Bacterial small subunit ribosomal RNA", at positions 29 to 417 of the family's 1533-position model. The record is from RNAcentral.
AUUGAACGCUGGCGGCAUGCCUUACACAUGCAAGUCGAACGGCAGCACGGGAGCAAUCCUGGUGGCGAGUGGCGAACGGGUGAGUAAUACAUCGGAACGUGCCCAGUAAUGGGGGAUAACCCGGCGAAAGCCGGACUAAUACCGCAUACGACCUACGGGUGAAAGCAGGGGAUCGCAAGACCUUGCGUUAUUGGAGCGGCCGAUGUCAGAUUAGCUAGUUGGNGGGGUAAAGGCCUACCAAGGCGACGAUCUGUAGCUGGUCUGAGAGGACGACCAGCCACACUGGGACUGAGACACGGCCCAGACUCCUACGGGAGGCAGCAGUGGGGAAUUUUGGACAAUGGGCGCAAGCCUGAUCCAGCCAUGCCGCGUGUGGGAAGAAGGCCU